CGGCCGGCCGGCCGGACUCACCAAACUCGAUCGGGGACGGGAAGCGUGAGGGCCCGGAUGCCGGCGCACCUAGCCCGCAGGGAGCCAUCAGCGAUGACCUUGUAGCAGUCCCGCAGGCAGAGGGACUCCAGGCGCGGGCAGCCGUCGAGGACGGCCACCAGCUCGUCGUUGCUGAUGUUGCUGCUGACGAGGGUGAGGCUCCGCAGCCCGGUCAUGGCCGCGAUCCCGAGCGCCUCCGCGGUGCGCCGGGAGUAGUUGAGCGAGAACCUGAAGCACUCCCUGCGCAGGCGGAAGCGCGCCAGCCGCGGGCAGGCUCGGCCGGCGCACUCCAGCACGUGGCGGCCGCCGACGUUCGGGCAGAGCUCCAGCGAGAGGUCCUCCAGCUUGGGCGCGUUCGUGACCAGGUCGGUGAACCCUUUGUUGGUGACCUCGGGGCACGACACAAGGCUGAGGCUCCUCAGACACGCGGACCUGCAGCAAGGAGUUGUUGGUUGUAGUUGAGACUUGAGAGAGGGGAAUUAGAUUAGAUUAGAUGGUGUGGUGAGAGUAACAAUCAGAUUAACAGGGUAUGUACCUGCCCGAUAUGUAGUUGAGAAGAUCGUCGGUGACGAAGUGCUUCCCCGAGAAGACCUCCAGCCGGCCCCUGGAGCGGCCCACGGCCACCCUGGCCAUUCCGCGCAGGACGUCGCCGCCCAUCUCCUCCACCGCCCUGUGGCUCGCCAUGUCCAGGGACGCCCACAGCUCCGGCUCCUUGGCCGCCUGGAGCCACGAGCGGCACACGAGGCCCGAGCCCAUGAGGAUCUCCACAGGGCCAAGCCUGCCGAAGACCAGCACCAGCGCGUCCAGGGACAGCUCCGACCAGUCCCUGCCGUUUGCCACCGUCGGCGCAGGCUCGCAGGGAGGCCCUGCCUCCAUUCUUGUUCCUUUAGCAACAGCCCAACAGCGACACCUGGGAACGAGAAGGGGACCAGUAGUUCGUUAGCUGCUUUGCCGCCUUAGGAUGCUUGUUACGAGGCACGAAUCGAGAACAGAUCGACCGUAAGUAUGUAUAGCUCCGGCCAAAGCUGUCGCCGUCGUCGUCGUCGAGCUCGGGGUGAGCGAGUGACUAAGGAGGUGUUUGGUUUGAGAAAUCACUCUAUCCAAAAUGUGGCGGUGCAUCAUGGGUCC
This 1167-nucleotide unclassified non-coding RNA is filed under the name Zea mays. RNAcentral's name for it is "misc RNA Zm00001eb413430". The record is from RNAcentral. Lineage: Eukaryota; Viridiplantae; Streptophyta; Magnoliopsida; Poales; Poaceae.